Molecule: non-coding RNA, 158 nt
Filed under: Daphnia pulex (common water flea)
Lineage: Eukaryota; Metazoa; Arthropoda; Branchiopoda; Diplostraca; Daphniidae
Description: Eukaryotic small subunit ribosomal RNA
Rfam family: Eukaryotic small subunit ribosomal RNA
Source: Rfam by way of RNAcentral
GGAUGGCUCCGAUGUCGGAGAGAUGUUACAAUGAGCUACCUCCAAAGCUAUUCCUCCUUCAGUGACAUUCAAAUGUCUGCCUUAUCAACUGUCGAUGGUAGGUUACGCGCCUACCAUGGUUGCAACGGGUAACGGGGAAUCGGGGUUCGAUUCCGGAG